RNAcentral lists this ribosomal RNA (483 nucleotides) under Triticum aestivum (bread wheat). RNAcentral describes it as "partial small subunit ribosomal RNA". The record is from RNAcentral. Lineage: Eukaryota; Viridiplantae; Streptophyta; Magnoliopsida; Poales; Poaceae.
AUGUCUAAAGAGGCAAUAUGCGGCUCCGGUGUGAGCCCCCCCCCCACGGAUGGCAAUGAAAUCGAAGUAAUCCCUCGACGGUUUUGGCGUUGCAUGAAUAUUUCUGAACACUCGGAGCGUGAUAAAUUCAUGAAAUUUUUACACAGUGCAGACACAUGUGAUAUAAUAGGCAUUGCAAUUUCUUAUUUUUUUAAAGAUGCAAGAGUAUGUGAAAAAAAACCACUACGGAUUGUUCUUCGCGUGUCUACGAGUGUGGCCAGGGGCCUUCGGGGGCUAGCUAUGCCACCAAAUCUUGCAUUGGGUCCUCUUACAUGUCUGGAAGUGUGGUGUCAGGUGCAAACACCUGUCAUAUGGCUCCGGAAAUGUGACCCCCUUCAUGGAAGGCGCUGCCGCCGGCACUUGGAGGGAGGAAACGGUCGCGUCAGGUCGACACGAGGGGGAUCCGGUGGUGGGUUGGGCCCAGUGGGGGGCCUUCGGGGGUAG